RNAcentral lists this ribosomal RNA (224 nucleotides) under Wickerhamomyces canadensis. RNAcentral describes it as "partial 26S ribosomal RNA". It matches the Rfam family "Eukaryotic large subunit ribosomal RNA", at positions 1623 to 1847 of the family's 3401-position model. Lineage: Eukaryota; Fungi; Ascomycota; Saccharomycetes; Phaffomycetales; Wickerhamomycetaceae. The record is from RNAcentral.
ACCUGGAUAUGGAUUCUUCACGGCAACGUAACUGAAUGUGGAGACGUCGGCGUGAGCCCUGGGAGGAGUUCUNUUUUCUUCUUAACAGCUUAUCACCCUGGAAUUGGUUUAUCNGGAGAUGGGGUNUUAUGGCUGGAAGAGCACAACGCCUCUGUUGUGUCCGGUGCGCUCNCNNCGGCCCUUNAAAAUCCNCAGGAAGGAAUAGUUUUCAUGCCAGGUCGUNC